UACGGGGGGAGCAAGCGUUGUUCGGAUUUACUGGGCGUAAAGGGCGCGUAGGCGGCCACCGCAAGUCGAUUGUGAAAUCUCCGGGCUUAACCCGGAAAGGUCAACCGAUACUGCGGGGCUAGAGUGCAGAAGGGGCAACUGGAAUUCUCGGUGUAGCGGUGAAAUGCGUAGAUAUCAAGAGGAACACCUGAGGUGAAGACGGGUUGCUGGGCCGACACUGACGCUGAGUGCGCGAAAGCCAGGGGAGGCAAACGGG
RNAcentral lists this ribosomal RNA (256 nucleotides) under uncultured bacterium. RNAcentral's name for it is "partial 16S ribosomal RNA". It matches the Rfam family "Bacterial small subunit ribosomal RNA", at positions 524 to 776 of the family's 1533-position model. The record is from RNAcentral.